RNAcentral lists this ribosomal RNA (271 nucleotides) under uncultured bacterium. Its description in RNAcentral is "partial 16S ribosomal RNA". It matches the Rfam family "Bacterial small subunit ribosomal RNA", at positions 524 to 794 of the family's 1533-position model. The record is from RNAcentral.
GACAGAGGGUGCAAACGUUGUUCGGAAUUACUGGGCGUAAGGCGCGUGUAGGCUGCUCUGCAAGUCGGAUGUGAAAGCCCUGGGCUCAACCUAGGAAGUGCAUUCGAAACUGCAGAGCUCGAGUCCUGGAGAGGAUAGCGGAAUUCUCGGUGUAGAGGUGAAAUUCGUAGAUAUCGAGAGGAACACCGGUGGCGAAGGCGGCUUUCUGGGUCCGCCCUGACGCUGAGGCGCGAAAGCGUGGGGAGCGAACGGGAUUAGAUACCCGGGUAGU